AGUGAACGCUGGCGGUAGGCCUAACACAUGCAAGUCGAACGGCAGCACAGUAAGAGCUUGCUCUUACGGGUGGCGAGUGGCGGACGGGUGAGGAAUACAUCGGAAUCUACUUUUUCGUGGGGGAUAACGUAGGGAAACUUACGCUAAUACCGCAUACGACCUACGGGUGAAAGCAGGGGAUCUUCGGACCUUGCGCGAUUGAAUGAGCCGCUGUCGGAUUAGCUAGUUGGCGGGGUAAAGGCCCACCAAGGCGACGAUCCGUAGCUGGUCUGAGAGGAUGAUCAGCCACACUGGAACUGAGACACGUUCCAGACUCCUACGGGAGGCAGCAGUGGGGAAUAUUGGACAAUGGGCGCAAGCCUGAUCCAGCCAUACCGCGUGGGUGAAGAAGGCCUUCGGGUUGUAAAGCCCUUUUGUUGGGAAAGAAAAGCAGCAGGUUAAUACCCCGCUGUUCUGACGGUACCCAAAGAAUAAGCACCGGCUAACUUCGUG
This 492-nucleotide ribosomal RNA is filed under the name uncultured bacterium. RNAcentral's name for it is "partial 16S ribosomal RNA". It matches the Rfam family "Bacterial small subunit ribosomal RNA", at positions 29 to 507 of the family's 1533-position model. The record is from RNAcentral.